This 802-nucleotide ribosomal RNA is filed under the name uncultured bacterium. Its description in RNAcentral is "bacterial SSU rRNA". It matches the Rfam family "Bacterial small subunit ribosomal RNA", at positions 8 to 811 of the family's 1533-position model. The record is from RNAcentral.
AGAGUUUGAUCCUGGCUCAGGAUGAACGCUGGCGGCGUGCUUAACACAUGCAAGUCGAACGGGAAACCUUUUAUUGAAGCUUCGGCAGAUUUAGCUGGUUUCUAGUGGCGGACGGGUGAGUAACGCGUGGGUAACCUGCCUUAUACAGGGGGAUAACAACCAGAAAUGGUUGCUAAUACCGCAUAAGCGCACAGGACCGCAUGGUCCGGUGUGAAAAACUCCGGUGGUAUAAGAUGGACCCGCGUUGGAUUAGCUAGUUGGCAGGGUAACGGCCUACCAAGGCGACGAUCCAUAGCCGGCCUGAGAGGGUGAACGGCCACAUUGGGACUGAGACACGGCCCAGACUCCUACGGGAGGCAGCAGUGGGGAAUAUUGCACAAUGGGGGAAACCCUGAUGCAGCGACGCCGCGUGAAGGAAGAAGUAUCUCGGUAUGUAAACUUCUAUCAGCAGGGAAGAUAGUGACGGUACCUGACUAAGAAGCUCCGGCUAACUACGUGCCAGCAGCCGCGGUAAUACGUAGGGGGCAAGCGUUAUCCGGAUUUACUGGGUGUAAAGGGAGCGUAGACGGACUGGCAAGUCUGAUGUGAAAGGCGGGGGCUCAACCCCUGGACUGCAUUGGAAACUGUUAGUCUUGAGUGCCGGAGAGGUAAGCGGAAUUCCUAGUGUAGCGGUGAAAUGCGUAGAUAUUAGGAGGAACACCAGUGGCGAAGGCGGCUUACUGGACGGUAACUGACGUUGAGGCUCGAAAGCGUGGGGAGCAAACAGAAUUAGAUACCCUGGUAGUCCACGCCGUAAACGAUG